UGCGGACGAUGGCUUCUGUCACU
This 23-nucleotide non-coding RNA is filed under the name Cricetulus griseus (Chinese hamster). The record is from RNAcentral. Lineage: Eukaryota; Metazoa; Chordata; Mammalia; Rodentia; Cricetidae.